Molecule: ribosomal RNA, 484 nt
Filed under: uncultured bacterium
Lineage: Bacteria
Description: bacterial SSU rRNA
Rfam family: Bacterial small subunit ribosomal RNA
Source: RNAcentral
UAUUGGUCAAUGGCCGGAAGGCUGAACCAGCCAAGUCGCGUGAGGGAAUAAGGCCCUACGGGUCGUAAACCUCUUUUGCCAGGGAGCAAUGCCGUCCACGUGUGGACGGAAGGAGAGUACCUGGAGAAAAAGCAUCGGCUAACUCCGUGCCAGCAGCCGCGGUAAUACGGAGGAUGCGAGCGUUAUCCGGAUUUAUUGGGUUUAAAGGGUGCGUAGGCGGCCUGCCAAGUCAGCGGUAAAAUUGCGGGGCUCAACCCCGUACAGCCGUUGAAACUGCCGGGCUCGAGUGGGCGAGAAGUAUGCGGAAUGCGUGGUGUAGCGGUGAAAUGCAUAGAUAUCACGCAGAACCCCGAUUGCGAAGGCAGCAUACCGGCGCCCGACUGACGCUGAGGCACGAAAGUGCGGGGAUCAAACAGGAUUAGAUACCCUGGUAGUCCGCACAGUAAACGAUGAAUGCUAGCUGUCCGGGGGGAUUGACCCCUGG